CCAGUAUGCCGUUUUAUCGCUUCCGGUUUUGGCCGGAAGAGGAAAGUCCGGGCAGCUCAGAACACUGCACUCCCGAAAGGGAGAUACCCGCGAGGGUAUGAAGACGGAACAGAGAACAACCGUCCGCUCUUAUGCGGAUAAGGGUGAAAAGGCGGGGUAAGAGCCCACCGGCCCGUAUGGUGACAUCGGGUGCUGUCCGUCCUGCAGGCUGAAAGGCCGCGUAUAUCCCGGUUUCAGGUUUUCUGAAACUGUAUGUUCUGGCAGAAUCCGGUGAUUCCGGAUACCGGGAGGGGUAGGCCGCUCAGAGAAAUGAUAAGAAUUCCGCUUCCGCGGAAUACAGAACCUGGCUUACAGGCAAACUGGCCAA
This 367-nucleotide RNase P RNA is filed under the name Bacteroidota bacterium. RNAcentral's name for it is "Bacteroidetes bacterium (hot springs metagenome) RNase P RNA component class A". It matches the Rfam family "Bacterial RNase P class A". From Rfam's summary of the family: Ribonuclease P (RNase P) is a ubiquitous endoribonuclease, found in archaea, bacteria and eukarya as well as chloroplasts and mitochondria. The record is from RNAcentral. RNAcentral also lists the same sequence under 1 other name. Lineage: Bacteria; Pseudomonadati; Bacteroidota.